GUUUAUGUAGUUUAAAAUAAAACAGUGUGUUUUCAUCACAAAAAUAAAUUUUUAAUUUUAUUUCAUAAAUU
RNAcentral lists this transfer RNA (71 nucleotides) under Agrilus discalis. RNAcentral describes it as "tRNA-Glu". The record is from RNAcentral. Lineage: Eukaryota; Metazoa; Arthropoda; Insecta; Coleoptera; Buprestidae.